AGCGUACUACAGCUGAGGCUGCUCUUAAUCAUGCUUGGUUUCAUGAGGUCCCUUUGCCUAAAUCAAAAGAUUUCAUGCCAACGUUUCCUGCACAGCAUGCACAAGACAGGCGCUUACGGAGAAUUAUGAAGAGUCCAGACCCACUAGAAGAGCAGCGACUGAAAGAGUUGAAACAAGGGGAGCUUGGACCUACUGGCCUGUUUGGUUAACAUGCACAUUCUGGGUAAUAACAUCUGAAUAGUGCCCAUCAUAUCCAGCAAAGUUUUCCAGGUGAGGCAUGCAUUGCUCGUGAAGUUGCACUCUUCUGUCUGUCAGCAGACAAUUGAUGCUGUUAUUUAGCAGGCACCCUUGAUGAUUGGGUGGAGUUAAAGAUUAUUCUUCCUUCCUCCAAAACAAGUUCUAUUGCAGGAAAAAUUUUGUUCCCCAGUCCCAGUGCAUAAAAAAGGUGCAUCUUUAUGCAGCUUGCAGCAUAAGAGACGAGUGGUGUCAAGCGGAAGGCGUUAUUUGCUUUCAUUGGUGGAGGUGUUGAGGGUAGCACUCUUACAGAAAGGAUUGUCCUUGAAUGGCCAUUCUUAGCUUUUUGCUGUGGAGACUUCUUCUGUGGUUAGUACUCACUCACCAUUCUAUCCUCUUUUUGUGUGAAUACUCUCGUUCUCGCUACUUAUUGUUCUCUUCUUCCAUAUGAACUACUACUUUCAAGGUUUAGUGAUUUAUGACUUGGCCUGUGCAAAUCCAUAAUGGUACAUUAAGAUAUAUUUGAUCUAGGACCCCAUAUAUUAGUACCCACACAGUUUUCUUUCAUCUUAUUUGAAUGUUAAAAUGCCUUCUCAAUUGUGCUUCAUACUUUGUUCAUAAUGUGUGAGUUUGUUAUUAUAUAACUAUGCCAGUGUGAACUGAAAGCUCUGUGAAGACAAAGCAAUAAUAUUUUCCCUGGAGUAGUUAUCUUUUCUUCAUGCUUUUUGAAUUUGUGAUUUUACAUGGAAUAUCUGACAUAAGUUAUGGAAAUUGGUGGGAAUUGAUGGUUAGAAAUCUUAGCUCCCAUAACAUGGACUAUGCAUCAUUUCAAUCAAGUGCCUUGACUAGUGAUUUUAGUAUUAAAAACACCCACUAAAUCAUGUUUUUAGAGAAAUGACACUCCUAGAAUCCUGUUUACCUGAUGAGAUUUAUAAAAUGAAGAACAGAUUUAGAAAGAUAAAUUUAAAAAUUAGACUGCAAAAUAACAAAGAGAUAGCAUAGGUUCAAGUUCUAGGAUCACAUUUUUAAAGGAUAUUGAUGCGAACAACAUAUCUUUGACAUCACCCUGGAGAAACAUAGAUUUUCCUUGGUACACAAUAAGAUGGACAAUAUUCUUGCGUUUAUUCUUAGGAAAAUAUGAAUUGGGUCUAGGGAAUAUAAAUAAAUCACUAUGCAGUUGUGUCACUGUGAUUAGUUCGAUCAAUGCAUUCUUGCAUAAGCUGGGUUUGUGUCUUAAAAUAUGAAAUGCAUAAAUUCCUUUUAGUUGGUAGCAUAAGUUAUCACCCAAUACCAAUUAAUGUUUAAUUGAUUCUGACUUCAUGUAAAUAUUCUUGCAUAAGUUGGGGUUGUGUCUUAAAAUAUAAACGCAUUAACCCCUUUAAUUGGUGCCUCAAGUUAUCAUCUAAUACUGUAUAUCAAUGUUUAAUUGGUUCCAACUUUAAAUUUCAUAGCAAUCUGAGCCCAAACUAAUUUGACAUAAUGUCUAAAUCAAUGAUCCCUCUCUUGUAUGACAUGUACUUCCUAGCCCAUAAUUGGGAAUGACAUUCUCACCGGCAACCAGGUAAAAAGGAAUGCCACUAGUACCUUAUUUCAAGUAAAACUUAGUCACAAAGUUGAGAAUUAUGUCACCGGGACAAAAACUAUCAAGCACGUUAGCUUUGUACAUACACAUUUUAUUACAUAUGUAAUGGGAAAAGUUGGUAGUACCAUUUUUAAGGCACUUAUGCAGUUGAAGGGCUUUAAUCCUUCAAGUUGACGAAGGGUCAAUUUAUGACAGUAUCCAAGUACCAAUCAUGCUAAAGAAAAAUAACGUACUUUCUAAUCUCUUCAAGGAAGCAUUGCCCACAUUUCUUACCUUAUAAAUG
Dioscorea cayenensis subsp. rotundata (Guinea yam) is the source of this 2099-nucleotide long non-coding RNA. RefSeq lists it as uncharacterized. NCBI's taxonomy places the organism in Eukaryota, Viridiplantae, Streptophyta, Magnoliopsida, Dioscoreales, Dioscoreaceae. The transcript is spliced from 4 exons. The record is from RefSeq and is a predicted model, not a curated record.